This 459-nucleotide ribosomal RNA is filed under the name uncultured bacterium. RNAcentral describes it as "partial 16S ribosomal RNA". It matches the Rfam family "Bacterial small subunit ribosomal RNA", at positions 338 to 795 of the family's 1533-position model. The record is from RNAcentral.
CCUACGGUGGCUGCAGUGAGGAAUAUUGGUCAAUGGGCUUACGCCUGAACCAGCCAAGUCGCGUGAGGGAAGACUGCCCUAUGGGUUGUAAACCUCUUUUGUCAGGGAGCAACGCCGGCUACGUGUAGCCGGACUGAGAGUACCUGCAGAAAAAGCAUCGGCUAACUCCGUGCCAGCAGCCGCGGUAAUACGGAGGAUGCGAGCGAUAUCGGGAUUUAUUUGGUUUAAAGGGUGCGUAGGCGGAAUGCCAAGUCAGCGGUAAAAUCGCGGGGCUCAACCUCGCUCCGCCGUUGAACCUGGCGUUCUUGAGUGGGCGAGAAGUAUGCGGAAUGCGUGGUGUAGCGGUGAAAUGCAUAGAUAUCACGCAGAACUCCGAUUGCGAAGGCAGCAUACCGGCGCCCAACUGACGCUGAAGCACGAAAGCGUGGGUAUCGAACAGGAUUAGAUACCCGGGUAGUC